GGAAGGAUCAUUACCGAGUUGAUUCGGGCUCCGGCCCGAUCCUCCCACCCUUUGUGUACCUACCUCUGUUGCUUUGGCGGGCCGCGGUCCUCCGCGGCCGCCCCCCUCCCCGGGGGGGUGGCCAGCGCCCGCCAGAGGACCAUCAAACUCCAGUCAGUAAACGAUGCAGUCUGAAAAACAUUUAAUAAACUAAAACUUUCAACAACGGAUCUCUUGGUUCUGGCAUCGAUGAAGAACGCAGCGAAAUGCGAUAAGUAAUGUGAAUUGCAGAAUUCAGUGAAUCAUCGAAUCUUUGAACGCACAUUGCGCCCUUUGGUAUUCCGAAGGGCAUGCCUGUUCGAGCGUCAUUACAACCCUCAAGCUCUGCUUGGUAUUGGGCACCGUCCUUUGCGGGCGCGCCUCAAAGACCUCGGCGGUGGCGUCUUGCCUCAAGCGUAGUAGAACAUACAUCUCGCUUCGGAGCGCAGGGCGUCGCCCGCCGGACGAACCUUCUGAACUUUUCUCAAGGUUGACCUCGGAUCAGGUAGGGAUACCCGCUGAACUUAAGCAUAU
This 552-nucleotide ribosomal RNA is filed under the name Botryosphaeria dothidea. Its description in RNAcentral is "eukaryotic LSU rRNA". The stretch from base 194 to 347 matches the Rfam family "5.8S ribosomal RNA". The record is from RNAcentral. Lineage: Eukaryota; Fungi; Ascomycota; Dothideomycetes; Botryosphaeriales; Botryosphaeriaceae.